GUAUAUAGGUAUACUUGUUUGGCAGGUGAAAAUAUUUUGGUAUUGAGCCAGUUACAAGGGAAACUCUGCCGGUUUUUCGGUAGAAGUUAACCUUAUUAUUUUAUCGUGUUUUGUAUAGAAGGGCAAAUAGGUCAUAUGUGCCCGACAUUUGCCAGGUGCCGGACACGCACAGGGUCUGGUUCGGAUUCCAAAGCAGAAUUUAGAUCGAGUCCUGUCAACUUGGUAUCAGAGCAUUAGGUUUAAUUUCCUGUAGACUUUGCACUUUGUGCAUCCUCGUUUUCCUGAAAAUCUAUUUCUUGUGACAGUAAAGAUGGGCCCUAAACGUGGCGGUGUCCGUAGAGGGACUAGAUAGUCGUCCCGACAAAGGGGACAGGAUCCCCAGCUUGGGCAGGAGGAAGUUCCUGUUCCUGCACCGGUACCUGAACCGGUAGAGCAGUCUGUUGUUGGAGGCUCGUCAGGAGCCGUACCUGCUGUGCCUACUAUGCAGGGAGAUCCCAACUUCCAACAGACCUUGGAGUUGCUAACGCAGGCUUUAGCCAGGACUAGGCAGCCCAGAUACAUCAUGCAAUUGAGCUAGAUCUGAAGGCAAAGCAAGCCUGUAAGCUACUGGACCCACACGCUCUAUAAUCUCAUAGGGUCCAAUAUAGCGAGGACUUAGUUUCCCUCGCUUCCCAAAUCGCACUACACCUUUCCAAGGUGAUAAUUUCAAAAAUACCCAGUCUCCAACUUCAAAUUGAAGAUCUUUUCUUCUAUUGUCCGCAUAGCUCUUUUGUCGGUCCUGGGCUGUCUUGAGUCGUUCUCUAAUGAUUUGCACUUGUUUCUUGGUCAGUUCAACAUCCUCAGAUACGACCAAUCUGUGUUCACCCACUUCAUCCCAAUAGAAUGGAGUUCUACACUGUCUCCCAUACAAGGCAUCAAAUGGAGACAUUUCGAUAUUCACUUGAUAACUGUUAUUAUAUGCAAACUCCAUAAGUGGUAACUUCUCAUCCCAACCACCCCGAAAUUGAAGCGCACAGGCUCUCAACAUAUCUUCUAAUGUCUGAAUGGUCCUCUCAGACUGACCAUCUGUCUGGGGGUGAAAUGCAGUACUAAACUGCAAUUGGGUUCCAAAAGCUUCAUUUAACUUGGUCCAAAAACGGGAUGUAAACCGUGGGUCACGAUCUGAAACAAUGGAUACUGGUACUCCAUGAAGUCUCACAAUCUCAUCUAUGAAGAUCUUAGCCAGUUUGUUCAAACUAUAAUUUGCUCUCACUGGCAGAAAAUGAGUGGACUUGGUGAGUCGAUCCAUGAUGACCCACACUCCAUCAUGCUUACUAUGUGUUCGGGGAAGCUUGAACACAAAAUCCAUCGUAAUCCGCUCCCACUUGCAUUCAGGAAUCGGAAGUGGUUGCAAUAGCCCUGAUGGUUUCUGUCACUCGGCUUUCACUUACUGACAAAUUAAGCACCUUCUGACAUACUCUACUACUUCUUUCUUCAUAAAAGGCCACCAGUAGUGCUCUCUCAGAGUAUGGUACAUUUUCGUGCUUCCAGGGUGCAUUACAAACGCUGAUUCAUGGGCCUCCUCAAGAAUCUCACUUUUUCGAGCUUUAUCAUUAGGGACAUAUAACCUGUUACCCACCAUUAACACUCCAUCAUUCCUUACGGAACAAUCAGUUUUGUCGCCAUUUGCAACCUCCACUCGCAGCGUACAAAUCAAAGGAUCCUGAGAUUGAGCUGCGAGUAUUCAUUCUACUAGCACUGGUCUCACAUGGAGAGUAGCUAACAGCGCUCCCUGAUUAUCCACAUCUAGCCCAACUCUGAGCUUUCUCAUUUCUACCAUUAAUGGAAAAUAUCUUCCUCAAAGAUAAGCUACAGAUCCUGAAGAUUUCCUACUGAGUGCAUCUGCAACAACAUUAGCUCUUCCUGGGUGAUGCUCGAUGGUACAGUCAUAAUCUUUUAUCAGCUCUAACCAUCUUCUUUGCCUCAAAUUUAAUUCCUUCUGGGUGAACAAAUACUUUAAACUUUUGUGGUCUGUAAAGAUUUGGCAAGUUUUCCCAUAAAGAUAAUGCCGCCAAAUCUUUAAGGUAAAAACUACUGCAACAAGUUCCAAAUCAUGAACUGGAUAAUUCAGCUCAUGCUUCCAGUUGUCUAGAAGCAUAAGCGAUCACCUUAUCAUGCUGCAUCAGCACACACCCAAGUCCUUGUUGAGAAGCAUCACUGUAGAUCACGAAGUUCCCACUAUCAUCCGGAAGUGCUAAAACCGGAGCAGUGGUCAGCCUGGUCUUGAGUUCAAUGAAACUCUCCUCACACUUAUCUGACCACACAAAUUUAACUCCUUUCCUUGUCAAAUAAGUGAGAGGUGCCGCUAUGGUGGAGAAUCCUUCCACGAAGCGAUGGUAAUACCCGGCUAACCCCAGAAAACUCCGUAUCUCAGUAACACUGGUAGGUCGUAGCCAAUUUACUACUGCUUCAAUCUUUUGGGAUCAACAUAAAUGCCCUCUGCAGAGAUCACGUGCCCCAAGAAACUCACUCUAUCCAACCAAAAUUGACACUUGCUGAAUUUGGCAUAAAGUUGCCUCCUUCUUAGAGUUCUCAACACAAGGUUUAAAUGCUUCAUAUGUGCCUUUUGACUCUUUGAAUACACCAGAAUGUCAUCUAUGAAUACAAUCACGAAGCGAUCCAAGUAACGUCGAAACACUCUGUUCAUGAGGUCCAUAAAUGCAGCUAGCGCAUUCGUUAAUCCAAAUGGCAUCACCAGGAACUCAUAGUGCCCAUACCUCGUUCGAAACGCUGUUUUAGGCACAUCCUCUUCUCUAACCCGUAACUGAUGAUAUCCAGACCUCAAGUCAAUUUUGGAAAAUACCUUGGCACCCUUCAGCUGAUCAAACAAGUCAUCAAUGCGAGGCAAGGGAUAUCUAUUCCGCACUGUGAUCUUGUUCAGCUGUCUGUAGUCAAUGCAUAACCUCAUGGUGCCAUCUUUUUUCUUAACAAAUAAUACUGGAGCACCCCACGGAGAAAAACUAGGGCGGAUGAAACCCUUAUCUACCAGCUCCUGUAACUAAGUCUUUAAUUCCCUCAACUCUGCUGGUGCCAUUCUAUAUGGUGCCUGAGAAAUAGGCGUUGUUCCUGGAGCGAGCUCAAUAACAAACUCGAUCUCCCGAUGAGGAGGUAAUCCAGGAAGAUCCUCAGGAAAUACAUCUGGAAAGUCCUGUACGACUGGAAUAUCUUCCAAUCGCAGCCUAUUAUCUCUGGUAUCAAUUACAUGUGCAAGAUAUCCUGAGCACCAUUUUCUGAGCAACCAUUUUGCCGUCAUAGCUGAAAUGAGGCAAGAUUAGCUAGCGCUGACGAUGUCAAGCAAUUCACUAUAUCCACUUUGUACUGAGUCCAAUAAAUCUCUUGACCUUUCUGCAGAACACCACCUAUCAAACGAAUAUCCUGUUUCAAAUAAUUCAACGGAAGCACUCUACGUUCGCCAUAAAAAGUUACUUCAGGUCAUCCGGGACUACGGAAUACAACUACCUUCCUGAAGCAAUCUACUGAGGCACGAUGUCUGGCUAACCAAUCCAUCCCUAAGAUGACAUCCAAGUCAACCAUGCCCAAGGGAAUUAAAUCUGCCUCCAAAAACACAUUUCCCACCAUCACUGUACUAUCGCGAUACACUGUACCUACCCUAAAAAUCUCUCAUGUAGGUACAAAGAUCGCCAGUUCAGUCUGUAGAGCCGAAAGUCUAACAUUGGCAUUAUGGGCAAAACUAGGUGUGACAAAUGAGUGCGUAGCCCCAGGGUCAAUCAAAACUCUAGCAGGAAUGCCAAAAACCGGUAAAAUACCUGUAAUUACAUCGGGUGAUGCAUGUGCUUCCUACUGGGACAUGUUAUACACUCUGCCUGUGGCUCUGGAACUUCCACCACGUCCCCUCGGCUGACUACUGCCUCGACUGGCAACACUGGUCUGAGCACCACCACUGGACGAAGCCUCUACAAACUGUGGUAUCUCCUGUGAUCUACCCUGCAUAACUGUCUCUGGAGUUGACGCAGCUGUGGUCUCUCUAGUCUGAAGGAACAGUGGGCAAUCCUUCCGAAAAUGUCCAGGUUGUCCACAGUAAUAACAUCCGGUAGUACCCUGCUGGCAAGGCCCAGAAUGGUACCUACCACACCUGGCACAUUGGGGGCGACUCCUCCUGCCAGAUCCUGACAGCAACUGUCUUCCAGCACCUCUAACUGCACUACCCCCAGAGCGGGUUCCAGAACUGCUACUUUGGUUGGAACCUCCGCUGGAGUUGAAUCCAGGUCGGUAACCUCCAUAGCUGCGACCACUAGAUGAUCCCGAACUGUAAUUGCCUCUCUUAGAUGAUCCCUGACUAGGACCACCUAUUUCAAACUGCUGCCUACGGAGUUCACCCCGUGGUCUGGCUGUCAUCUGGCUACUUUCAAUCAGCGAGGCAGACAUCACCACUUCACUAAAGUUGGUCAACCACUGACUGAUCACAAUAUCUCGGAUGGAGGCCUUUAACCCCAUAGUGAACAGUUGACACUUCUUACUUUCAUCCUCCACCAGUGGAAGACAAUACUUAGACAGAUCAUGAAACUUCUUCUCGUACUCUAAUACAGUCAUCAUCCCCUGUUCCAGCUGUAAAACCUCUUGCAUCUUCAAAUUCUGGUAUGCUUGUGGGUAAUACUGACUGUCAAAUGCAGCUCUGAAGACUUGCCAUGUAAUGGCUAAAGGAUCCCGAUAUCUCCUCUUGACAGAAUCCCACCAAUGUCUGGCAUUCCUGAUCAAGAAGAAGGUGGCCAGAGUAACCCUACUGUUCUGUAGAACAGCCAUGACCUCCAUGAUCCGCUCCAUCCGUUCAAUCCACUCCUCAGCUACUGCUGGGGUACCAUCACCAUGCGGAUAAAGGUGGACUACGGUCCCCUGAAUCCUGCGAGUUGCGGCUCGGAUUGUCUUCGUGUCACUGAGACCUGCGAGUAUGUGUCACCCAUGGUGAUGCAAGGAAUUGACGGUAUAAGGAAUUGACGGCAAUAAGGGUACACCUAGAUGAUAGUUUUAAACAGUUUUCAAAUGUAUAUCAUUAUAUACAUGCAUUGAUUUCAGAAAUAAAGAAAAUAAGCUAGUUUGUAUAACUGUUUUUACAGUGGGGUUAGUAUGUUCAUAUGUUAUUUUUUAAACUUUAUUUUUGGGUCCACUCACCCUUUUUGUUGUUUUGCGCCCCCAGGCAGUAGACGUGCACAGGAAUCCACCACUGGGCCAUUUUCCAUCUUCCGCGCCUUUCUUCUGAUGUAGGAUUUUUGUUUGUAAAAGGAUUCACUCCUUUGUAAAUUCUAAGUUGACAGGACCCGAUCCAAAUUCCGCUUUGGAAUCCGAGUCAGACCCUGUGCGUGUCUGAUACCUGGCAAAUGUCGGGCACAAAGUCGCUCUGAUAUUUUGCCCUAGACUGAGAAUUGAACUGUUUGAAUGUAUAUAUACGUAUGCUGGCAGUUGGUUGUAUAUAGGCAUACUUGUUUGCAAGUGAAAAUAUUUUGGUAUUGAGCCAGUUACAAUGGAAACUCUGCCGGUUUUUCGGUAGACGUUAACCUUAUUAUUUUAUCGUGUUUUGUAUAGAAGGGCAAAUAGGUCAUAUGUGCCCGACAUUUGCCAGGUGUCGGACACGCACAGGGUCUCGUUCGGAUUCCAAAGCGGAAUUUGGAUCGG
This 5667-nucleotide long non-coding RNA is filed under the name Prunus persica (peach). RNAcentral describes it as "long non-coding RNA (PPER_LNC004392)". The record is from RNAcentral. Lineage: Eukaryota; Viridiplantae; Streptophyta; Magnoliopsida; Rosales; Rosaceae.